Molecule: ribosomal RNA, 479 nt
Filed under: uncultured anaerobic ammonium-oxidizing bacterium
Lineage: Bacteria
Description: bacterial SSU rRNA
Rfam family: Bacterial small subunit ribosomal RNA
Source: RNAcentral
UUUCGCAAUGCCCGAAAGGGUGACGAAGCGACGCCGCGUGCGGGAAGAAGGCCUUCGGGUUGUAAACCGCUGUCGGGAGUUAAGAAAUGUAAGGAUGUUAAUAGCAUCUUUGCUUGACUAAGGCUCCGGAGGAAGCCACGGCUAACUCUGUGCCAGCAGUCGCGGUAAUACAGAGGCGGCAAGCGUUGUUCGGAAUUAUUGGGCGUAAAGAGCACGUAGGCGGCUAUGUAAGUCGGUUGUGAAAGCCUUCCGCUCAACGGGAGAACAGCAUCCGAUACUGCAUGGCUUGAGUGCGGGAGGGGAGAGUGGAACUUCUGGUGGAGCGGUGAAAUGCGUAGAUAUCAGAAGGAACGCCGGCGGCGAAAGCGGCUCUCUGGCCCAUAACUGACGCUGAGUGUGCGAAAGCUAGGGGAGCAAACGGGAUUAGAUACCCCGGUAGUCCUAGCCGUAAACGAUGGGCACUAAGUAGAGGGGUUUUA